This 9990-nucleotide long non-coding RNA is filed under the name Homo sapiens (human). Its description in RNAcentral is "HSALNT0091271". Lineage: Eukaryota; Metazoa; Chordata; Mammalia; Primates; Hominidae. The record is from RNAcentral.
CUGCUGAGUCAUCCUGCUCUGGCAGUUAUUUAAACAGAAGGCUCCAGGAGACAUACAAUCAACACUCCACUCAGACAAUGCCCAGACCUCCAGAAACCAUGUGUCAAGCUCGGAUUGCCUUAGACAGGUGCAAUUUAAGAACAGCUUUCAUCCUCUUUUCUCUCAUAUUGUCACACUAUGUGUUCUGACUUCUGGCUCCUUUCCUCACAAGAAGCUCACCCAGCUGGAACUCUUAUGGGACCUUGGCACCAGAGACCACAAAUUCCUCUUUGAAGUUUUCUAACAGCAACAAUGGUAUUUCUGACUUGGCUUUCUUGUAUUUCUCUCACGUUAACAAAAUUGGUUCAGCAUCUACCAUGGGCUACAUGCUGAGCUACAGGUAAGGUUUGGCUAAAGGAUGAAUAAGAACCCCUCCUUGUCUUCAGGAGUUUGUCUAGCAGAGGAGUCUGUCAUGUAAUCAGGAAACUCCAGUACACAACGUGAUAGCUCUAAGACAGGUAUAUACAAGAUGAUGUUCUGGACCUUAACUGUUUGGGGAGUACUACUGCCUUUGUCUAAAAGCCAUCACCCUUUUUAUAUGCCAUUUGGGAGGAACUGGGGGGACGUGGGAGGCUUCAAAGGGUUAUGGGAGGAUGGACAUUUUAAAAGGGCUUUUCUUUUCUUUUUUUUUUUUUGAGACAGAGUUUCGCUCUGUCGCCCAGGCUGGAGUGCAGUGGCGCGCGAUCUCGGUUCACUGCAAGCUCCACCUCCCGGGUUCACGCCAUUCUCCUGCCUCAGCCUCCUGAGUAGCUGGGACUACAGGCGCCCGCCACCACACCCAGGAAUCCAACUUGCUGUUUGCUAUCACAUGUGCUAUACAUGCUGUUGAUGAAACUGCUAAAGGGGCUGAAUGUGACUGACGUCUUUGGAAGGAUGAGACUUAGCGUGCCUGUACAGUUGUGUCCAAAUGCUGUCCUCAUCUCCCAAUGAAAAGAUACAUGAAAAGAAAGAAGGAGAGAAGGAAGAAAGGAGGGCGGAAGGAAAGGAAGAAGGGAGAGAAGAAGAGAAGAAAGAAGCAGAGAAAGGAAGAGAAAAGAAAUUACGGCCAGUGCGGUGGCUCACGCCUGUAAUCCUAGCACUUUGGGAGGCCUAAGCGGGCUGAUCACCUGAGGUCAGGAGUUCGUAAGCCAGCCUGGCCAACAUGGUGAAACCCUAUCUCUACUAAAAAUACAAAAAUCAGCAGGGCAUGGUGGUGCGUGCCUGUAAUCCCAGCUACCUGGGAGGCUGAGGUAGGAGAAUCGCUGGAACCCGAGAGGCGGAGGCUGCAGUGAGUUGAGAUCAUGUCACUGCACUCCAGGCUGGGCAACAGAGUGAGACUCUGUCUCAGAAAAAAAAAAAAAGAAAGAAAGAAAGAAAGAAAGUUACCAUUAGUUUUUUGUUGUAUUUGCAAGCAAAGACAAAAGCACCAAGGUACUUGUUUCCUUCUGUAAUUAGAGUUUCAAAUAGACUAAAAGUUUCUGCUCUUAGGUGGGUCUAGAGACUCUCCAGUACCUCAGGACCUCAGGACACAUGGGGUCUCUUGGUUGUUUUCUUUUCAUUGUUGUUGUUUAUUUUAUUUUUGUUUUUAUUUUUUAACUUUAAAACAAUUUUUUGUAGAUGAAUAUGCUUACAUAUGUUUGGGGGUUUUUUUGAGACAGGGUCUUGCUCUGUUGCCCAGGCUGGAGAGCGGUGGUUUAACCACAGCUCACUGCAGCCUCGACCUCCCAAGGUAGGGACUGCAGGUGUGUACACUGGGGUGCACCACCACACCCAGCUAAUUUUUAAAUUUUUUUUUGUAGAUAUUGUCUCACUCUGUUGGCCAGACUGGUCUUGAAAUCCUGGGCUCGAGCAAUUCUCCUGCCUCGGCCUCGUAACGCGUUAGGAUUACAAGCGUGAACACCGCACCUGGCCAGCAUGUGGUCUCUUAACCAGAGGAGGCCUCUUCUGAACUAGGUAGAGGUCCUGAGAAUUGAUUCUGAGAGUAAAAGGCUCUUUGUUCUCCUCAGAGUAGAUUAGAAUCCCUAAUGAUAGAGCAUCUAUUAUUCCUCUAGUGGUCCAUGCCCAACAGAUUCAUCCAAGAAUAGAUGAAGAUCUUUGUAAUGUUGUGCAAGUAAUCUAAUCACCCCACAGAAGAGCUGUGACUUAAAUUAUCCCAGAGUCGGCCCACCUGUUUUCAUAAAGAUCAAUGUAACUUGUAAAUUUCUUCAGUUCUCCUCACCUAUCAUCAUUUGACUAACAAAACCCAGAAAACUAGGCUAGUUAUGGUGGCCUAUGCAUAUAAUCCCAACUCUUUGAGAGGCCAGGGUGGGUGGAUUGCUUGAGUCCAGGAAUUCGAGACCAGCCUGGGCAACAAAGGGAGACCCUGCCUAUAUCCCAGCUAUGCAGGAGGCGAGGCCAGAGGAUUGCCUGAGCCUCAGAGGUUGAGGCUGUAGUGAGCCAUGAUUGCCCCACUACACUCCAGCCUGGAUGACAGAGUGAGACCCUGCCUUAAAAAUAAUAAUAAUAGUAAUAAUAUUUCAUAAAGAUACAGGAAACUAGAUUAUAAUUGACAUUUUCAAAGUGAAAUACUGUCUAGAAUGGUGCUUGGCCAACAGUAAGCUUUUUGUAAGUGGAAGUCAUUACUACUACUAUUUCUUUCAUUAUUAUUACCAUUACUACUUUUUUUUACAAAAAAAAAACCCUGGACAACACACUGAAACCAUUACUACUUCUACUACUAUAACUUAGGUUGCACCUGAUAGAGCCAGCAAUUUUUCCAAGGUAUGACAAUGGCCAUAUGUUUAAUGAUAUAAUUCUAUGGCUCAGUGUAUCUCAGCCUUUUUAAACCCUGCUCUUCUUUUGACAAUUGUAAAAAUCUUAAACUGACCUCCAGUUGAAAUCCUCUGUCAAGAAGAUAUUGUCGGCCAGGGGCGGUGGCUCACACCUGUAAUCCCAGCACUUUUGGAGGCCGAGGUGGGAGGAUCACUUGAGGUUAGGAGUUCAAGACCAGCCUGGCCAACAUAGUGAAACCCCAUCUCUACUAAAAAUACAAAAAUUAGGCAGGCAUGGUGGUGUGUGCCUGUAAUCCCAGCUACUCAGGAGGCUGAGGUAGGAGAAUUGCUUGAACCUGGCAGGGCAGAGGUUGCAGCAAGCCGAGAUCACGCCACUGCUCUCCAGCCUGGGUGAGACUGUCUCAAAAAAAAAAAAAAAAAAGAAAGAAAGUAAGAAAAAGAAGAAAUCCCAAUCUCUUCUUUUAUGUGGAUUCUUCCUCACUUGAAUAAUACUUUUCUUCCCCAGUAUUCUCCAUAUUAUCCCAGAGUCAGCCCCUCUGUUUUUGUAAAGAUCUACGUAACCUCCUCUAAGUUUCCCAGUUCUCCUCACCUAUCAUAUCAUUUGGCUCAACAAAGGGCAGGAAGCUAGAUUCUAAUUGAUAUUUUGAGGCCGGGAGCAGUGGCUCAUGCCUGUAAUCACAGCACUUUGGGAGGCUGAGGCGGGCAGAUCACUGGAGGUCAGGAGUUCGAGACCAGCCUGGCCAAUAUGGUGAAACCUCGUCUCUACUAAAAAUACAAAAAAUUAGCCAGGCUUGGUGGCUUGUACCUGUAAUCCCAGCUACUCAGGAGGCUGAGGCAGGAGAAUAGCUUAAACCUGGGAGGAAGAGGUUGCAGUGAGCCGAGAUUGCUCAAUUGCACCCCAGCCUGGGUGACAGAGCAAAACUCCAUCUCAAAAACAAACAAACGAACAAACCUGAUAUUUUCAAAAUUGAGGCAAUUAUAACAGCUAUUUAGCCAAGCAUUAUGAUAGCAAUAAUAGCAAGAAAAUAAAUUAGUUAACAAAUGAGUCUCAGAAGCCCAAUGAUUUUUAUUUUAUUUUUAUUUUUUGAACUUUUAUUUUAGAAUCAGGGGAUACAUGUGCAGGUUUGUUACCCGGGUAUAUUGCAUGAUGCUGAGUUUUGGAGUAUGCAUGAAUCCAACCUGUCAUCCAGGUAGUGAGUAUAGUACCCAACAGAUAGUUUUUUUAACAUUUACUUCACUCCCUUCCCCAAUCUUGUAUUCCCCUGUGUCUACUGUUCCCAUUUUUAUGACUGUGCCAACAAUAAUUUUUUUUCUUUUUUCUUUAAAUAGAGAUGGGGGUCUCUAUUUAAAGAGCCUCCCAAAGUGCUAGGAUUACAGGUGUGAUCCAUUGCACCUGGCCCAUGCCAACAAUAUUUGAAACCCUUAUCUGCGUGUACAAGUUUGCUACUGGUUUUGUUUUGCUCAUUAAUACAUCCCAAGCAUCUAUACCUGGCUUGUAGUACCAGCAUGUAGUAGGUGCUUAAUAAAUAUUUAUUGAAUAAAUAAAUUAGUUUGACAUUAGUUUAACAUCUCAAGUAAAACAAAAUACCAUUCAAUUAAUUCUCUUCUUCUACUUUUUUCUUUUAAGAGAGACAAAUAGUCACACAUACAUCAGCAGGAGAGGAUACAAUUUCCUGUGUUUAAGUUUUUAUGAGUUACUUUAGUUCAAAUGUCACAGAAAAUUAUAUUGAACUCUUGACCAAUCUAUCUAUUUUUUCCAUUGGAGUAUUGACCCAAAUAAGAAAUAGCAUAAAGGAAAAAUUAUUUUUUGGCAGAAAAAUAUUCUCUCUAAAUUCUUGUGUGUUUUGUUUUGAUUUUUUCCUUAGUGACUGGAGGCCAGUUUCAAUCCACUGAAGCACAGAUUCCAAAUUUUCAAUCUGGUUUUCUUGAGUAGUGACUGAGUGCCAAAAAUGAAGCAAUGACACAACAUCACCAUCAAGACACUCCCCAGCACGCACACACAUGCCAGAGUCCAACACCAAGAUACUCCCCAGCACGCACACACACGCCAGAGUCCAGGCCAUAUUCGGGUGGCUUGCAAGCUUCUUCCCCCCAAGUAUUUACUCUCAAAAUAAUGGUUUUUGUUUUGUUUUGGUUUGGUUUGGUUUGUUUUUUUCCAAAUACAUUUCUUCCCUAUAUCUUUAACCAAUUCUCAUAAAAUUUUGUCUAAUACACUGGUCAGUGUAUUCCAGACCCUAAAAGAUAACAUAAUGAAACUAUCUAUGACUAAAAGGUAAUCAGGAUCUUCUACUUAUCCUUUUUUCCUCCCUCUUAAACUUUAAUUUUGAUACAUUUGGGAGUGAAAUGAUGACAAUAAAUGCAAAGUAAUUAUUGAAGAAACAGUAAUUUUGUAUUAGCUUACUGAAAAAAAAAAAAAAGAUAACCAAAUAUAUUUUGGCAGCCCCAAACGAGUCACAUGUGAAAUGCAGUGGGAGAGCAGUGUCCUGAAGGAAAAGGUGGCCUGCUGGACAGCCAAGAGAACAAACAUCCACUGCAAGUAAUAUGAGCUCUAAGUUUGGACUAGGCCUAUGUCUGCUCUGAGACUUGGGGCAAUUCACUUAAUCAGAGCCUUAAUCAGCUACGGACUAGCAAUAUCCAUACCCGCUACUUAUUUUGUAAAUCUCCUUUCUAAAGUUAACUCUAUUUAUUGUUCCAUAAUCCCAUAAAUUCUAGAAUCUUUUCCUGUUAUAGCCAAGUUGUCUAUCAUUGACAGAGAUAUUCACCUGGUUGUUUUGGCUUCUCUAAUCCUCCUGGUGAGAACACCUCCAAGGGAGCUUUCAGUGGCAUUUAAGGUCACUUGUGCUCUUGGUCCUAGAAACUGCCUUGAUAGUGGUUUUAGCUCACAUGAGGUAAGUCUUUAUUAUAUGCCCAACCUCUUUAUGCAUUACUUCAUUUAAUUGUAUACUAAUCCUUUGUCAUAGGUUAUCAGAGUGUUUGAUUAUAAGUUACAGGAAGAAAAAAAAAAACAAACUCCAAUUGACUAAAACAAUGGGGCAUUUUUUGACUCACAUAACAGAGAGUCUAGAGAGAAGGCACCUUCAGGUUUGGCUGAUGAAUCCUGUAUCUCUGCCUUGUCUCCAGGCCCCCAGGUUCUGCCUCUGUCCUGACAUCCAGUGUUGGAUUCCUCUUCACAUCAACUCCUCUCUAGCUGUGGCAAUUCCUUGAACCACACUGAUUGCUAUAAAGUGGAAGAGGAAUAGAUUGAAUUUUGGGGAGUCAACUACAAUGUGUACUACAGGUAAAUACUAUGAAUUUCCAAUUCACAGAUGAGAAAACUGAGGCAUGUGGUGGGAGGGAGGUUAUGUAAUUUGCCCAGUGUCACAGUUGAACCUAGGCAAAGGCCUAUCUCCAGGUCUAAACAAUUCAGUGGCCUCCUGUGUACAUUUCUGUCUCUCCUUUUUUAUCCACUGUGUCACCGAGGCUGGAUUGCAGUGGCUCGAUCAUGGAGAUCAUGGCUUUCUGUAGCCUUGAACUCCUGGGCUCAAGUGAUCCUCCUGCCUCAGCUUCCUGAGUGGCUGGGACUACAGGCUUGACAACACACCCGGCUAUCCCGUGUAUAUUUCUUGAGGGCUUAUGAUAUAUAAGAGAAACUCCAAAAUAAGAGGACGGUGUGCUAAGGGGAAGACCAAAGCACUAUCAAGAGGUAGAUUCAAUCGUACCCCUUCUAUUUACUAGUUGUGUGACUCUUUUGAAAAUGAGAAUAAUAGGCCAGGCUCGGUGGCUCCUGCCUGUAAUCCCAGCACUUUGGGAGGCUGAGGCAGGUAGAUCACCUGAGGUUAGAAGUUCAAGACCAGCCUAGCCAACAUGGCAAAACCCCAUCUCUAUUAAAAAUACAAAAAUUAGCCGGGAAUGGCAGCAUGUGCCUGUAGUUCCGGCUACUCAGGAGGCUGAGGCAGGAGAAUCACUUGAACCCAGGAGGCAGAGGUUGCAGUGAGCCGAGAUUGCGCUACUGCACUUCAGCCUGGGUGACAGCGAGACUCCAUCUCAAAAAAAAAAAAAAAGGAAGAAAAGAAAAGAAAAUGGGAAUAAUAAAACUUACUUACUGGAGCAGUAGCAAAGAUUAAAAUUUAGACCAUGCAGAAGAAUGUUUUUCAAAAUGACAUGACCUGGUAAUAGGAUAGAAAUGCAAAUUCCUGUUACUGCACCAGACCCACCAAAUAAGAAACUCUGGGGAUGGGACCCAGGACUAAGUACUUUAAUAAGCACUCCAGGUGAUUCUAAUGAUUGUUAAAGUUUGAGAACCACUGGUCUAACACAUUGCCUGGUACAUAAGCUCUUAUUUUGUUGUUAUUGUUCUAAGGACAAUGUGUGUAUUGACUUCUAUUUCCAGGAGUUCAUGACUUGGAGAACUAGGGAAAGGAAGACAAAAAUUCUUUAAUGCAGAACGAUACUGAUUGAUAAAUACCUGAAUAUAAUACAGGUUAAAUGUGCUUUGAAGAUUUAUAAAAGGUUGAAUUUAUUUCCAGCAAGAUGACUCUCAGAAGCCUUUAUAGAUUAGAGAAGAAAUGGAAAGGGGUAAAAAUAAUUAGGAACUAUAAAGCAGGGCAGACAAGUUUUCAAUGGUUACUGCCAAUGUGUAUACAGAAAGUUAGCUUGGCCAGGCAAAGUGGCUCAUGCUUGUAAUAUCAGCACUUUGGGAGGCCAAGGCGGGCAGGUCACCUGAGAUCAGGAGUUUGAGACCAGCCUGACCAACAUGGUGAAACUCUAUCUCUACUAAAAAUACACAAUUAGCCCAGCAUGGUAGAGCAUGCCUGUAAUCCCAGCUACUCAGGAGGCUGAGGCAGGAGAAUCGCUUGUACUUGGGAGGCAAAGGCUGCAGUGAGCUGAGAUCGUGCCAUUGCACUCCAUCCUGGGAAACAAGGGUGAAACUCCGUCUCCAGAAAAAAAAAAGUUACCUUGAAAUAUAUCAAUACAAACAAAUAAAUUAGAUAUUUCAUAUUGUACAGGAACAAAACCCAUCAGAAGAUGUCAGAAGAUAAGGAUUUUUGUCCUGAUGCUACACUUACCAGCUGUCCCUCAGUGUUCUACUUCUUAAAAAAAGAGAGAUGGAUAAACAGAGGCAACCCGAGGAUAAAGGCCUUGCUCAGUGUCACACAUUUCAGUCACUAAAUAAGACACAAUGGAUGCCAGUAUUCUCAUCCCCUCACAAAUAAAGAGCCUUCAAGCUCUUGCAGUCAACAAGAACUUUUGGAAUGAUUUCACUGCCUGAAAAGGCAGAUACAUAGGUGACACCCACAAAUAGGAAGAAAAUCAACCUGAACCUGAGUGUGUGGGCUCACUGACUCUAAGCAGUAGAGACAGAAGAAAAAGUUUUAGCAAAGAAGGGUUCUGAAAGAAAAUAAAUAUAGCUCGUUAUCAAGUGCUGUUUUUACACAGUAAAACAUGGGCAAAAUUACUCUUCUUUAAGUAGUAAUUCUUAUCUCUUGAUUAAGUCACCUACUCAUUCAUUUAAUAAAUACAUACUGAUUGUUUUCUAUGUGUUGAGCACUCAUCUCUGUAUUGGAAAUAUAAUAAUGACCAAAGUUGACAAUAGUAAUAACAAUAAUAGCUAAUAUAGCAGGCACUAAUAAUUAUUUGUUGAGUAAUAUGUCAAAAUUCAGUGUGAACAGCAUUCUAUUUGGGGCUGCAUCCACUGACUAUAACACAGCUAAUCUAUCUGAAAUGUUCCAGCUUUGGGCCUCUCUAACAGAAGAAGCUGUUGUUGGGCCUGCCUCUAGUUGGCGAUGCAUCCACCAAUGAGAAUGAAUUUAUGAUCGACCACUCUUCCUGUAAAGGCCGCUGGAACUGACAGCAUUGUGAUUUUCUUUUACUGUUAGUUUUAAAUUACUAGAACCAACUCAAUUACUAGAACGAACUUUACUUCUUUGUUUCCUACUUAUCAAAACAGUAAAAACAACAAGUAAAAGAAAUGCCAUCUUAAUAUUGUUUUGAUGACAAAACAGUAUUCCUUUUAGUUGUGCUUCAAAUGGAAUAAGAUGCAAACAGGCUUGGUAUGGUGGCUCACCCCUGUAAUCCCAGCCCUUUGGGAGGCCAAGGUGGAAGGAUUGCUUGAGGCCAUGAGUUUGAGACCAGCCUGCGCAACAUAGCAAGACCGUGUCUCUACAAAAAAUAAAAAAUUAGCUGAGUGUAGUGGUGUGUGCUUGUGGUCCCAGCUACUUUUGAGGCUGAGGAGGGAGAAUCUCUUGAGCCCAGAAGGUCGAAGUUGCAGUGAGCCGUGAUCGUGCCAUUGCUCUCCAGCUUGGACAACAAAGCAAGACCCUAUGUCAAAAAAUAAAUAAAUAAAAGACAUAAACAUAUCUGAGAUUAACUUUCAGUGGUAAAUUUGUUCCAUAUAUGAUUUUUAAGGUUAAAUGCUUUGGAAGCUUUAAAAACCAUUUCAGCCCUUUUAAAUGCCAACUUACACUGAUGAUGCUCUCAGAUGUUAGGAAAUCUUUUGAGCAGAAAAUGGAAGUGGGGGUGUUGAGGCAGGGAGGAGAGUGAUGCAAUAUUCCUUAGUGUCAUCCUGUGAUUUCACAAUUUGUUUUUCAAUCUGUUUGGACUUUCAAAAGGGAAGACUCUCAUAUGUCAACAAGCCCAUGAACUGAAGCUUAAAACACUGGAAACAACAACUGUAGAGUUUCAAGUAUAUGUACAUUUAUGUAUUCAUGUUCCUUGAUGGGAAUGCUGGCUGGUGUGAAUGUUCAAUCUCCUGAGAAAUGUAAAUUUUUCUCUGACAGAUUUAUUAGCUUGCUGUAUCUGAGCACAUGAGCAAAAACAAUGCCUAAUAAGAAAACUUUCUCUCUCCUUCAAAGUCAAACUUGGGAGAAAUGAAGGGAAAUCGAGUUUUCUUUGCUUGACAGUGUUCAACAUUCUUGUAGUCAGUGUGCUCAUGAAGAUUGCAAACUUUUUUUUUUUUUUAGAGCAGCUAGGACUACAGGCGCGCACCACCACACCCAGCUAAUUUGUGUAUUUUUAGUAGAGAUGGGGUUUUAACUAUGUUGGCCAAGCUUGUCUCAAACUCCUGACCUCAAGUGAUCCAUUCGACAGCUCUUUCUUUUUUUUUUUUUUUUUUGAGACAAAGUCUCGCUCUGUCACCCAGGCUGGAGUGCAGUGGUAUGAUCUCAGCUCACUGCAACCUCCGCCUCCUGGGUUCAAGCAAUUCUCAUGCCUUAGCCUCCCGAAU